RNAcentral lists this ribosomal RNA (497 nucleotides) under uncultured bacterium. RNAcentral's name for it is "partial 16S ribosomal RNA". It matches the Rfam family "Bacterial small subunit ribosomal RNA", at positions 28 to 507 of the family's 1533-position model. The record is from RNAcentral.
GAUGAACGCUGGCGGCGUGCCUAAUACAUGCAAGUCGAGCGAACAGACGAGGAGCUUGCUCCUCUGACGUUAGCGGCGGACGGGUGAGUAACACGUGGAUAACCUACCUAUAAGACUGGGAUAACUUCGGGAAACCGGAGCUAAUACCGGAUAAUAUAUUGAACCGCAUGGUUCAAUAGUGAAAGACGGUUUUGCUGUCACUUAUAGAUGGAUCCGCGCCGCAUUAGCUAGUUGGUAAGGUAACGGCUUACCAAGGCAACGAUGCGUAGCCGACCUGAGAGGGUGAUCGGCCACACCGGAACUGAGACACGGUCCAGACUCCUACGGGAGGCAGCAGUAGGGAAUCUUCCGCAAUGGGCGAAAGCUUGACGGAGCAACGCCGCGUGAGUGAUGAAGGUCUUCGGAUCGUAAAACUCUGUUAUUAGGGAAGAACAAAUGUGUAAGUAACUAUGCACGUCUUGACGGUACCUAAUCAGAAAGCCACGGCUAACUACCUG